Non-coding RNA from Ricinus communis (castor bean), 107 nucleotides. Lineage: Eukaryota; Viridiplantae; Streptophyta; Magnoliopsida; Malpighiales; Euphorbiaceae. The record is from Rfam.
AAUCCAUGGUACAGGAAACAUCAAAGUAAGUCCUUAUACCUCUCUCAAGCAUCAUACAUACUCUCGUUAUCGAACUGCACAAAAGAAGAUAUGUCAUUUCUCAACUU